CCAUGUAACAUUGACACUUUCGAUUGUCUCAACGGAAACUGGAGUAAGCUUCGUCAGCACGGAUUUCAUAUCGUUUGACUGCACCCAUCUUAAAUAUUGUUCAUCUUGUGUAACAAGUCCCUGGCCAUGUGACUGGUGUGUUUAUGACAACAUGUGUACACGUGAUAGCAGCUCAUGUCAGCCGGGAGAUACAGUGGUGAUUAAUGAAAAUAACACCGUAGGUUCUGGAAACAAAGGCCGGGGUUAUUGCCCUCAGCUGGUGGCGACAUCAGAACGGAUUUUUAUCCCAGUUAAUAUUCCCUCUAGUUACUCACUUCUGGCAAAAAAUCUCCCUACA
Long non-coding RNA from Strongylocentrotus purpuratus (purple sea urchin), 337 nucleotides. RefSeq lists it as uncharacterized. NCBI's taxonomy places the organism in Eukaryota, Metazoa, Echinodermata, Echinoidea, Camarodonta, Strongylocentrotidae. The record is from RefSeq and is a predicted model, not a curated record. The transcript has 3 exons.